Molecule: ribosomal RNA, 305 nt
Filed under: uncultured bacterium
Lineage: Bacteria
Description: bacterial SSU rRNA
Rfam family: Bacterial small subunit ribosomal RNA
Source: RNAcentral
UUUGCCUACGGGGCGCAGCAGUGAGGAAUAUUGGUCAAUGGCCGCAGGGCUGAACCAGCCAAGUCGCGUGAGGGAUGACGGUCCUAUGGAUUGUAAACCUCUUUUGUCAGGGAACAAAGGCGGGGACGUGUCCCCGGAUGAGUGUACCUGAAGAAAAAGCAUCGGCUAACUCCGUGCCAGCAGCCGCGGUAAUACGGGGGAUGCGAGCGUUAUCCGGAUUUAUUGGGUUUAAAGGGUGCGCAGGCGGUCUGUUAAGUCAGCGGUCAAAGCCCGGGGCUCAACCCCGGCCCGCCGUUGAAACUGGG